RNAcentral lists this unclassified non-coding RNA (2098 nucleotides) under Hevea brasiliensis (rubber tree). The record is from RNAcentral. Lineage: Eukaryota; Viridiplantae; Streptophyta; Magnoliopsida; Malpighiales; Euphorbiaceae.
UUAGAGAAACAUCUUUUUCGUAGUAAGUGGCUGUUGCAACUUUGAAUUAUUGCCGUUUAUUAAGGGUUGAAAUUUUAUAUAACACAUAUCUUAGUGCUUAUGCCAUAGUUCUGCUCUGGGGAAUUUAGAAAGAAAAGGAGAGAAAAGAAUAGAAGAUAGAGAGAGAACGGAUAUUCUUUAUUAAUCUCAACUGAACAACUGAUGUCCAAUUACACAGGUACAUUUCCUAUGUAUAGUAUAAUCCAAUGACUGUUCUAGUAAUGCCCUAACUGCUUAACGACUUCAGUUACUUCCAGCUCAUUCAAUUCCUACGGUUAAAUCAGCUCACAACUUACUCACAUUCCCUCCAAAACCUAUCCUCUCUCAACUCCACCAUCUAUUCAUUUCUUCUAGCUCAUGGACUCUAUCUACUUAUGUGACAAUACCCUCCACUCUAAUACCUUCUUGUCCCCAAGAAGGUUUGAAUUCUGGAAUUUAAGCUGGAAUGAAUGCUUGAGCUUCCCCAGUAGUAUUCUUUUUAGUAACUGCAAACAUUUAAUGAGGUACUGAGUAACUGAAAUGUCAUUCCUCACAAUGUUUCGGAGUUGAAAUAAAUUCUUUGGAGCUACUUCCAAUUGACUGUCUACAAAUUGCUAGAAAUUAAAAAUAGACUGGAAUGGUUGUACUGACUGUCAAAACCCUCAAGAUCCUUCCCAUUCCUGUGCACUAGCUGUUGAAAGCUAGUGCAGGGCACCAUCCUAUGCAUUGUAGAAGUUUCAGUCAACCCUUGCAAAGUAAUGAAUCUACUUCCCUUCCUGAAAAAGACUUGGGAACGUUCAAAGUGAAACAUCACUGGAUUAAAGCUUUUCAUCCAAUCAACCCCUAAUAUCAUAUCAAAGCUAACCAAUUCCAAUACCCUCAAGUCAAAAAUAAACUGAUUUGGCUGUAUUUCCCAAUUAAACUGAUGACAAACACUAGUGCCCUCCAUCUUUCUCCCAUUUGCUACCGGAACAGUAAUUGUAGGAACCUCUACCAAUGCUAAUUUAAGUGCCUUGGCCACCCCAACAUCCAAAAAACUAUGAGUACUGCCACUGUCUAUCAAUAUCAGCAAUUUCCUGUUUUGAUGUCACCCCAUUACUUUGAUAGCUGCUGCUCCUUGGUUGCCUUACAAAGCAUGAAUAGAAAGAGUCAUGUCCUCUUGUUUCCAUUCAGCCUCCUCUUCCUCCUGAGAAAUAUCAUGGCAUUCCUCUCUUUUCUGACCUUUUUCCUGAGUAUAACAUUUCCCCUUAUCUGCCUUAGUGACAUGUAUUGCCAUCACUGAUUUCUGCUUGGAUACAUGACCAGGGAAAUACUUCUCUCCACACCUGUAACAUGGCUUAGGUUGUCUUAAACCAGCUGAAUUGUGUUGUAGGGGUAUUUUCAUUGCAGAUUGGUUUGAUGAAGGCUGACUGUUGCUAGGAUGUUUUAUGCUAGUUGAAUUGUGUUGUGGUGGUGUUUUCAUUGCAGAUUGGUAAGAUGAAGACUGGCUGUGGCGGGAUGGAAUGGUUUUGCUGGUUGUGUUUUGGAAUUUCAAAGUUGUAGUGAAAUUAGUGUUUGGUGGCUUUGGAGAAUUGGGAAAGUUCUGAUGUAACUGUGAAAUUUUGUAUGGCAUAACUGUAGGAUUAGGACUAGUAUUUGUCCCAAAGGGGCAAACUGGUUUAGGGUUGUAAUUAACUCGUCCACUACUUCCAAGGAGCUGCUCUUGAAGUUUAGCAACCUCAAAUGCAUGAUACAAAGUGGCAGGUCUCGUCAUCUUUACCAUAGGCCUAAUUUCAUCCGUUAACCUGCCAAAUCUGACAUAGAGGGCUUUUUUUAAAAUCUUCCCAAGAAUGAGACGCUUCCCUUGUAAUCCAAUUGUGAUACUAAGCAUCCGCCCUACUACUAAAAAUAGACUUGCAAUUCCCACCAUUUGUACCCAUUACUCUUCAAAAUACUUGGCACAUUUUCUUAGCCACGCCCUAGGUUCUUUCCCCUCAAAAGUAAUUAAUUCAAUCUUGGGUAAAAUUUUGGCCAUACCUUCAUUCUCAGCUACAGAUCCAUUGCUAACAAUUCCUCGUUGCUGGUUGACUUUCUCCUUUGG